This is a non-coding RNA of Fusarium mangiferae, 72 nucleotides long. The record is from the annotation of a RefSeq genome assembly. NCBI's taxonomy places the organism in Eukaryota, Fungi, Ascomycota, Sordariomycetes, Hypocreales, Nectriaceae.
GGUUGACUGGUCUAACGGUUAGGACGGUGUCCCCCAGUGACUCAAGACUGGGUUCAAUUCCCAGGUUAACUA